UCCGAACUGAGACCGGCUUUUUGGGAUUCGCUCCACCUUACGGUAUCGCAGCCCUCUGUACCGGCCAUUGUAGCAUGCGUGAAGCCCAAGACAUAAGGGGCAUGAUGAUUUGACGUCAUCCCCACCUUCCUCCGAGUUGACCCCGGCAGUCUCCCAUGAGUCCCCGGCAUAACCCGCUGGCAACAUAGGACGAGGGUUGCGCUCGUUGCGGGACUUAACCCAACAUCUCACGACACGAGCUGACGACAACCAUGCACCACCUGUGUACGAGUGUCCAAAGAGAACCCCGUCUCGGGGGCUUUCUCGUACAUGUCAAGCCUUGGUAAGGUUCUUCGCGUUGCAUCGAAUUAAUCCGCAUGCUCCGCCGCUUGUGCGGGCCCCCGUCAAUUCCUUUGAGUUUUAGCCUUGCGGCCGUACUCCCCAGGCGGGGCACUUAAUGCGUUAGCUGCGGCACGGAACUCGUGGAAUGAGCCCCACACCUAGUGCCCAACGUUUACGGCAUGGACUACCAGGGUAUCUAAUCCUGUUCGCUCCCCAUGCUUUCGCUCCUCAGCGUCAGUUGCGGCCCAGAGACCUGCCUUCGCCAUCGGUGUUCCUCCUGAUAUCUGCGCAUUCCACCGCUACACCAGGAAUUCCAGUCUCCCCUACCGCACUCUAGUCUGCCCGUACCCGAUGCAAGCCCGAGGUUGAGCCUCGGGAUUUCACACCAGAUGCGACAGACCGCCUACGAGCUCUUUACGCCCAAUAAUUCCGGACAACGCUUGCGCCCUACGUAUUACCGCGGCUGCUGGCACGUAGUUAGCCGGCGCUUCUUCUGCAGGUACCGUCACUUGCGCUUCUUCCCUGCUGAAAGAGGUUUACAACCCGAAGGCCGUCAUCCCUCACGCGGCGUCGCUGCAUCAGGCUUGCGCCCAUUGUGAAUAUUCCCCACUGCUGCCUCCCGUAGGAGUCUGGGCCGUGUCUCAGUCCCAGUGUGGCCGGUCGCCCUCUCAGGCCGGCUACCCGUCGACGCCUUGGUAGGCCAUCACCCCACCAACAAGCUGAUAGGCCGCGAGCCCAUCCCCCACCGAAAAACUUUCCAACCCACACCAUGCGAUGCGAGCUCAUAUCCGGUAUUAGACCCCGUUUCCAAGGCUUAUCCCGAAGUGGAGGGCAGGUUGCUCACGUGUUACUCACCCGUUCGCCACUGAUCCACCCAGCAAGCUGGGCUUCACCG
RNAcentral lists this ribosomal RNA (1216 nucleotides) under uncultured bacterium. RNAcentral describes it as "partial 16S ribosomal RNA". The record is from RNAcentral.